AGAGUUUGAUCCUGGCUCAGGAUGAACGCUGGCGGCGUGCUUAACACAUGCAAGUCGAACGGGAAUGCCACGCUGAGGAGACUUCGGUCAAAUCUUGUGGCAUUCCAGUGGCGGACGGGUGAGUAACGCGUGGGUAACCUGCCUCACACAGGGGGAUAACACUUAGAAAUAGGUGCUAAUACCGCAUAAGCGCACGGGACUGCAUGGUCCAGUGUGAAAAACCCCGGCGGUGUGAGAUGGACCCGCGUCUGAUUAGCUUGUUGGCGGGGUAACGGCCCACCAAGGCGACGAUCAGUAGCCGGCCUGAGAGGGUGGACGGCCACAUUGGGACUGAGACACGGCCCAAACUCCUACGGGAGGCAGCAGUGGGGGAUAUUGGACAAUGGGGGGAACCCUGAUCCAGCGACGCCGCGUGAGUGAAGAAGUAUUUCGGUAUGUAAAGCUCUGUCAGCAGGGAAGAAAGAGAUGACGGUACCUGACCAAGAAGCCCCGGCUAACUACGUGCCAGCCGCCGCGGUAAUUC
This 523-nucleotide ribosomal RNA is filed under the name uncultured bacterium. Its description in RNAcentral is "bacterial SSU rRNA". It matches the Rfam family "Bacterial small subunit ribosomal RNA", at positions 8 to 526 of the family's 1533-position model. The record is from RNAcentral.